Molecule: ribosomal RNA, 2753 nt
Filed under: Reyranella sp. CPCC 100927
Lineage: Bacteria; Pseudomonadati; Pseudomonadota; Alphaproteobacteria; Hyphomicrobiales; Reyranellaceae
Description: 23S ribosomal RNA
Rfam family: Bacterial large subunit ribosomal RNA
Source: RNAcentral
UGAUCAAGCGUUUUAAGGGCGUUUGGUGGAUGCCUUGGUGCCAAGAGGCGAUGAAGGACGUGGUACGCUGCGAAAAGCUUCGGGGAGCCGCGAACGGGCGUUGAUCCGAAGAUAUCCGAAUGGGGAAACCCCACCCAUCAGGGUGAUCCCGAUCUGAAUCCAUAGGGUCGGGAGGCGAACCCGGGGAACUGAAACAUCUCAGUACCCGGAGGAAAGGACAUCAACAGAGACUCCGCGAGUAGUGGCGAGCGAAAGCGGAUCAGGCCAGUGGUUUGCGCGAAUGAACCGGAACGGCAUGCGAAAGGCCGGCCAGAGCGGGUGAUAGCCCCGUACGGGUAGGGUUCGUGCAGAUCCUUGAGUAAGGCGGGACACGUGAAAUCCUGUCUGAACAUGGGGGGACCACCCUCCAAGCCUAAGUACUCCUUGGCGACCGAUAGUGGACCAGUACCGUGAGGGAAAGGUGAAAAGCACCCCGACGAGGGGAGUGAAAGAGACCUGAAACCGAACGCCUACAAGCAGUCGGAGCCGGCAUGUCCGGUGACGGCGUACCUUUUGUAUAAUGGGUCAGCGACUUGAUUUGUACGGCAAGCUUAAGCCGAUAGGCGCAGGCGCAGCGAAAGCGAGUCCGAAAGGGGCGACUGAGUCGUACGGAUCAGACCCGAAACCUGGUGAUCUAGCCAUGGGCAGGUUGAAGGCGCGGUAACGCGCGCUGGAGGACCGAACCCACUCCCGUUGAAAAGGUAGGGGAUGACCUGUGGCUAGGGGUGAAAGGCCAAUCAAACUGGGAAAUAGCUGGUUCUCCGCGAAAGCUAUUUAGGUAGCGCGUCGCGUUUAUGCCACCGGGGGUAGAGCACCGGAUGGGCUAGGGGGGUCCAAAGCCUUACCAAACCCAACCGAACUCCGAAUACCGGUGAGUACUGCGCGGCAGACAGACGGCGGGUGCUAAGGUCCGUCGUCAAGAGGGAAAGAGCCCAGACCGACAGCUAAGGUCCCCAAGUCGUGGCUAAGUGGGAAAGGAAGUGGGAAGGCCAUAACAACCAGGAGGUUGGCUUAGAAGCAGCCAUCCUUUAAAGAAAGCGUAAUAGCUCACUGGUCUAAACAAGCCGUCCUGCGCCGAAAAUGUAACGGGGCUAAAGCCACGCACCGAAGCUUCGGGCUCAUCGCAAGAUGAGCGGUAGCGGAGCGUUCCGUAGGCCUGCGAAGGGAUAUCCGUGAGGGGUCCUGGAGGUAUCGGAAGUGCGAAUGCUGACAUGAGUAGCGAUAAGGAGCGUGGGAAACGCUCCCGCCGAAAGUCCAAGGGUUCCUGCGCAAGGUUAAUCCGCGCAGGGUUAGUCGGUCCCUAAGGCGAGGCCGAGAGGCGUAGUCGAUGGGAAGCAGGUUAAUAUUCCUGCACCUGCUGGUAGUGACGAAUUCCGUAAGUUGUUUCUGCGAGAGGGCCGCAAGGCGCGCGGGGGCAGCGAAGGGGUUCCAGGAAAUAGCUCCAGCGUAUAGACCGUACCCGAAACCGACACAGGUGGACUGGUAGAGCAUACCAAGGCGUUUGAGAGAACGGUGUCGAAGGAACUAGGCAAAAUGCCCUCGUAACUUCGGGAGAAGAGGGCCUCGGUCCUGGGCAACCAGGGUCGAGGGGCACAGACCAGGGGGUAGCGACUGUUUACUAAAAACACAGGGCUCUGCGAAGCCGCGAGGCGACGUAUAGGGUCUGACGCCUGCCCGGUGCCGGAAGGUUAAGAGGAGAGGUGCAAGCCUUGAAUCGAAGCCCCGGUAAACGGCGGCCGUAACUAUAACGGUCCUAAGGUAGCGAAAUUCCUUGUCGGGUAAGUUCCGACCUGCACGAAUGGCGUAACGACUUCCCCGCUGUCUCCGACACCGACUCAGCGAAAUUGAAUUCCCCGUGAAGAUGCGGGGUACCCGCGGUCAGACGGAAAGACCCCGUGCACCUUUACUACAACUUUGCAGUGGCGUUAGGGAAUGGAUGUGUAGGAUAGGCGGGAGGCUAUGAAACUGGGGCGCCAGCCUUGGUGGAGCCACCCUUGAAAUACCGCCCUUUUGUUUCCUGACGUCUAACCGAGGCCGUGACGCGGUCCGGGACCCUGCAUGGUGGGUAGUUUGACUGGGGCGGUCGCCUCCCAAAGAGUAACGGAGGCGCGCGAUGGUGGGCUCAGGCCGGUCGGAAAUCGGCUGUGGAGUGCAAUGGCAUAAGCCCGCCUGACUGCGAGGCAGACAAGCCGAGCAGAGACGAAAGUCGGCCAUAGUGAUCCGGUGGUCCCGCGUGGAAGGGCCAUCGCUCAACGGAUAAAAGGUACGCCGGGGAUAACAGGCUGAUCUCCCCCAAGAGUCCACAUCGACGGGGAGGUUUGGCACCUCGAUGUCGGCUCAUCGCAUCCUGGGGCUGGAGCAGGUCCCAAGGGUAUGGCUGUUCGCCAUUUAAAGCGGUACGUGAGCUGGGUUUAGAACGUCGUGAGACAGUUCGGUCCCUAUCUGCCGUGGGUGUUGGAGACUUGAGAGGCGCUGUCCCUAGUACGAGAGGACCGGGAUGGACGUACCUCUGGUGUACCGGUUGUGGCGCCAGCCGCACCGCCGGGUAGCUAUGUACGGACGGGAUAAACGCUGAACGCAUCUAAGCGUGAAACCCUCCUCAAAACCAGGUCUCCCUAAGAGCCGUGACAGACCAUCACGUCGAUAGGCCGCAGGUGUACGUAUGGCGACAUACUCAGCCAAGCGGUCCUAAUCGCUCGAGUGAGCUUGAUUAU